UUUCAAGAGACUUCUCACAAACCCUAACCAAACUAUCCAUCUUCCCUGAUAGUCAGAGGCGAAGUUCAAGAUUUUCCAACAUGCUGCUGCUCAACAAUUAACAGUUUCCAAACUCCUCAUCCAUAAUUCUCGCAUGAUGGUUCUGGAAACUCAACUAGACGGUGUGAUUUUAUACCGCAAACCCUAAUUCUAAGAGCUGAUUCUGGAAUAGUACUCGGUUUUCAAGAUUUUGUUUUUGGUUUCAUUCAUCCAGAGGAUUCGCCACUGAAUCCGAUGUGGACGACGUCGUUGUGAUCGGACGAUACGUGGCAGUAAUUAACGCCGCUCAAAACCACCUGUAUUAAGAAACGGGGGUGUCGUUGGUGGUACUUGCCACCAUGCCGGCUGUAUCCCUUCUAAGGAUAGGAGCAUCUUCAUUCUUCUCAUGAAACCCAAGACCAAGUUUGCAAAUCAUGGCAUAAAGUGUGACUGUGUGAGAGUGCAAAGAUGAAUCUCGCUGCCAUGAUGGCCCAUAAGGACAAAGUCGUCUUUAAGAUAACAAAAGGCGUCGAAUCCCUUUUCAAGAAGAAUAAGAUGGUUUCUCCAACCGAAACAUUGCCAAGACUUUAAUGGAAGUAGAGAUGGGCGAAUGAUACCUGAUAUCGGUUCUGGUACCAAAUUUCCCGAGUCAACUCAAUUUACGGUAUUAAUUUGGUAUCGACAUUUUACAUUUUCGGUACCGGUCCAGUACCGCUUUGGUACCGGCAAAUACCAAUUUUUAUCUUCAAAUACUGGUACCGAACCGUACCGUACCAGGUAUUUUCGAUCCCGGUAACUGGUACUGAGCUCAUCCCUAAAUGGAAGUUGUUGGUUGGUAUCUCCACCUCAAAUGGUAGAAAAUGUAAAAGAAGAUGAAUAAUGAGGUUGUGGUUCCGGAUUUAGCAGGGAAUCAAUAUUUGAGAACGAACAUCAAUGGAUCGGUCUAGAUAUACAAAUAAGACUACCCAUGUGGUGUACAAUGAAAAUUUUAAUGAAUUUUGAAUUAUUUGUUGUAUUUUUUUACCUAU
Molecule: long non-coding RNA, 1046 nt
Filed under: Helianthus annuus (common sunflower)
Lineage: Eukaryota; Viridiplantae; Streptophyta; Magnoliopsida; Asterales; Asteraceae
Source: RNAcentral